Molecule: unclassified non-coding RNA, 3322 nt
Filed under: Hevea brasiliensis (rubber tree)
Lineage: Eukaryota; Viridiplantae; Streptophyta; Magnoliopsida; Malpighiales; Euphorbiaceae
Source: RNAcentral
UGCUGCUAAAAAUCAGUAAAGCGAAUGUUUAUAUUAGGGAAAGAAUAAGCAUAUUGCCACUGUGCAUAGAAGGAUUUUUUACGUACACUUGAUUGUAGUAAGAGCUACUAUUUCUCAGCGUUUCGGAGCAAUGCAGAUACAACACUGCAAAAUUUUACUUGGGAUGAAAAGACUGACAAAAAGAACUCAAGCUUACAUGGCAUGGGUAGGCACAUUUAGCUACAAGAAGUGGGUUAACCUAAGAUCAGUUUAAGUUUAGAAGAGAGUACCAAUCCAUAUACCUAAAUCAAGCUUGCCGAUGAGAAAUCUUCACAGGCAUUCCUUUUCCAUUGCUUUGUGCCUUUGUCCAUGUGAAGGAAGACUAGUUCCAGAGUCCAAGCUGAGCCCUUGCCUGAGGAGCCUAUGCUUUCUUAAACUCUCAUGGCAUGGAGAAAAGAACUCGUGCUUUAAUGCAUCCUCUGCACUGAUCCUCAAUCUUGGGUUCACUAUCAGGCAUUUGUCCACCAGAUCAAUAAGCGAGCUUGGGAUUAUAUCAAGGAAAUCCCGCCUUUUUGUGUUUAUUUUGCACCAUUCCUGUAGAGUCGUAGAUGGAAAAGACUCUAUUUUAUAUAGUUCCGCUGGGAAUGAGGAUUCCCGGUCAUGUAACUUUGAAACUUCCCACAGAUCUUCACUUCCUCUUAGCUUGGCUAUGUCCUUCAUGUUCUGUUCAGGAUCGCCAUAAAAGGGUGUUCUUCCUAUCAUUAGGUAGAGUAAGGUGACCCCUGCAGACCAAAUAUCAACCUUGGGUCCUUGAUGGGGAGACCUGAACAAGACCUCUGGAGCCCGGAAACCUUUGGUUCCAACACAUGGACCUUCUUUCUUGUGCUUCCCAUCUUUGUUCUUAAUUAAGCAGGUACCAGGACUAGCAAUUCCAGUUGAAUGCAGAGUCAUUGGAGUAAGGUAAAUAAAUCUUUCAUCCACUUUUCGAGGAGGCGCAGCAAUCCUCUUUCUCAUAGAAGCUGGAACACUUGAUCCUUCGCGAUUUGGACUCUGCAUUGCUUCCUGCAACAAGUUGAUGAGUUCCUUCCUACCUUGGCAUGGCAAAGGCUCUCUGGGCCUUUCUACAGAAGGAGUCCUAGUACUUGUCCCAUCCUUCACUGAAGUUAUGCCAGAGCCAUCAGCUCCUUGACUUUUCAUUACAUUAUGACCAUUCAAGUCAUUCUGGGCCUUUGUUCUAUCCACCGCUCUCUUUUUUUGGAUCUUGGAUUCUAAAGUUGUCUUUAAGCUUUUUGUUGCCUCUUGAUUGAAUGCAUCCAAAGAUUUAGCACUUGGAAUCCUACUAUUUUUAGGAGGAGGAAUAGAUUUAGCAUUGGGAAGUGCAACAUGAUUGAAGCAUACAUCAUUCCCUGCUUUUAAUUUGUUUGUUGCUCUGUACUUUUGGCUCAGAUCCAUGGCAAGGUUAAAAUCAAUGAGAUAACCUUUAUUGGCCUUGCGAGAGAAAAGGAAGUUGCCAGGUUUGACAUCUCUGUGGACUAUCCCCUGCUUAUGAAGACUAGCAAGUGCUCUGAACAUGCAAUAACCAUACCAUUGUAGCUGAUAAAUAUUUAUUUCCUUCUUCAACGCCUCUGGUCUAUCAUGCUCAACGUGCUCCAGAACAAAGCAGUCAGAAUUUCCGCUCUUAAUACAGCCUUCAUAUUUUAUGACAAAGUUUUUACCCCCAAAGCGCUCCAGCAUCCUUAGUUCAUUGCUAACGUGGUGCUUAUUAGCAUUUGCAUGAGGGCAUUUAAUGGCAACUGUGGUCCCAUCACUCUUCCUCCGAGCUCUGUAAACAAUGCCAUAACCACCUGAACCUUCUUCCUCUUCUGCAAUAUAAGACUGAAAGCAUGGCAGGCCCUUGGUUUCCACUUGAUCCAUGUGAGAAAAAGAAGCAACAUCCUUCCUGCCAUCUUUAAUAAGCAUAUUGUCACGUUUCCUUGAUUUUUGUGCUUUAGUAAUUGCCACGAGAUUUCUCUUAACUUGAUGGUUUUCUCCAGGAGUGCGUAUUGGCUUACUCCCCUCCAAAGAUUGAUUAACAGCUUGAUGUCUUGGUGGAGUAUUUGCUUCUACAAAAGUGAGCUUCAUCUUGGCAGAGGUUUUCAACAACUGCUUCUUAACUGCUGGGAGCUCAAUCACUGGAAAGAUAUCCUGGUUCUUUGAAAAAGUAGUUGCUCCCUCUUUAUCCAAAGGUCGCAGUUCAUUCAUCCAUUUGCUGUCUCCUUCUAUUGGUGUAUCCAAAAGAGCAGUACCAAUUGGUUGGAAAAAGUUUUCUGCUUCUCCUUUCAAGUUACGAGAACCAAUUAACAGUUCCUCUUCCUUGCAUUUAAUUCCUUCUUUUUGAAUGGAACAAUCAUUUACAGCAUCACAAGCAUCAUUAACACUUGCACACACUUCUGGUAAUAUAGUAAUCUGUUUAAAAUCUUCCCUCCAAAAAGUAGCAUCAAUAUCUGUUCUACUUUUUAAAUCUGCCUCAUCUACUUUAAUUUCUUGGCACACAGCUUGAUUACCCAACAUCUUUCUCAGAAGAGCAGAUUCUUCAUCCAGCUUAGGCGCCAUGAUUCUUUUGUGCUCCUUGCUUUCCACAACACUUGUAUUCAUCUCAUCGUCAACUUGUUCGGCGUUCCUUAGGUUAUAGAUUACACUAUUGCCCAUGGUUUUGCUGAAUAAGGCAGGUGGCAGAAUCAUGUUAUUUGUUUUAUUAGACACGAAACUUGACUCAGCAUUAAUGCUCCUGCUGAUACCUUGAGCUAUCUGGAAGUGCACCUUGGGGUAAGCAUUUCGAAUUCUUUUUAAAGGAAGAGAAACUGAUCCAUAAUUCUCAUCCACUUCUCCAGAAUCAAAUCCGAUCCGCUUCCGCUUCCUGAAGUACACCCUUACAACAUCCUUUAACAUCCCAGGUCCACAGACCUGGGUCCCGAUCGGAGUCAGAAACGAGCCAAUCAAGUUGAUAUUAGAGACAAAUCGUUGAAAAGCGAAAAGGCCUAGAAGCGAAACUGUUACAUGAAGACCGCCGCUGCUGGUAGUUAAAGUGAUGGGUGAGUUAGGAGUGGAGCAGAGAGAUAUGAUAAGAUCGGGAGUGGCUCGGAAGAGAGUGCAUCGGGAUGCGAGCUCGAGAGGUGAAGUUGGGUGACCGAGUGAGAGGAGGAGGGAGAGGAGGUGCCAUGCUUUUUGUGACUCGGAAUCCAUGGAGGUGACAGGGAGCGAGUCGAACGGAACGAGUUGUGAGUGUGGAAGGUGAGUUUGCAUAGCGACUUAGUUGAGGGAUGGAAGUGAGUUUAGGGCUUGAGAUGGAAAUGGAACAUUUGCA